GAACAAUCCGACAGCGACUCUGAAACCGCUGAACGUGGUCCUGAGCAGCCAGCCGAUGAAGAGGAAGAGAACGCACCACCUCCUGCACCUGUACAGA
Molecule: non-coding RNA, 97 nt
Organism: Nothobranchius furzeri (turquoise killifish)
Lineage: Eukaryota; Metazoa; Chordata; Actinopteri; Cyprinodontiformes; Nothobranchiidae
Source: RefSeq, a predicted model, not a curated record